CCCGCGAAGCCUUAAAACCACACAUGCAUCGACACGAUGGCCUGGGUGCCUUUCGACAAGAUCGAAGGGUUGGCCAUUGGGAUGCAUGGAGGCCCAAC
This 98-nucleotide small RNA is filed under the name Pseudomonas knackmussii B13. RNAcentral's name for it is "t44 RNA". It matches the Rfam family "t44 RNA". Rfam says of the family: This family consists of a number of bacterial RNA genes of between 135 and 170 bases in length. The t44 gene is found between the map and rpsB genes in all species in the full alignment apart from Shigella flexneri. Lineage: Bacteria; Pseudomonadati; Pseudomonadota; Gammaproteobacteria; Pseudomonadales; Pseudomonadaceae. The record is from Rfam by way of RNAcentral.